GAUGAACGCUGGCGGCGUGCCUAAUACAUGCAAGUCGAGCGAACGGACGAGAAGCUUGCUUCUCUGAUGUUAGCGGCGGACGGGUGAGUAACACGUGGAUAACCUACCUAUAAGACUGGGAUAACUUCGGGAAACCGGAGCUACUACCGGAUAAUAUUUUGAACCGCAUGGUUCAAAAGUGAAAGACGGUCUUGCUGUCACUUAUAGAUGGUUCCGCGCUGCAUUAGCUAGUUGGUAAGGUAACGGCUUACCAAGGCAACGAUGCAUAGCCGACCUGAGAGGGUGAUCGGCCACACUGGAACUGAGACACGGUCCAGACUCCUACGGGAGGCAGCAGUAGGGAAUAUUCCGCAAUGGGCGCAAGCCUGACGGAGCAACGCCGCGUGAGUGAUGAAGGUCUUCGGAUCGUAAAGCUCUGUUAUUAGGGAAGAACAUAUGUGUAAGUAACUGUGCACAUCCUGACGGUACCUAAUCAGAAAGCCACGGCUAACUACGUG
RNAcentral lists this ribosomal RNA (497 nucleotides) under uncultured bacterium. RNAcentral's name for it is "partial 16S ribosomal RNA". It matches the Rfam family "Bacterial small subunit ribosomal RNA", at positions 28 to 507 of the family's 1533-position model. The record is from RNAcentral.